GGAGAAGCAACGUGAUGAGCAUUGCUGGCUGGAGCUCCAAAGGGGCACCUGUGUGUGUGUGUGUGUGUGUGUGUGUGUGUCUGUACCCUUGUCUGUGCAUGCACACGUCUGUCUGGGAGCAUGCGUGAGUGUGGCUGGUUGUAGGGACCUAGUUAUGUGCCUCCUUUUGGACGAUGAUAGUCAAAAACUGAUAAGAUCUGAUUGCUUC
RNAcentral lists this small nucleolar RNA (208 nucleotides) under Sus scrofa (pig). Its description in RNAcentral is "Small nucleolar RNA ZL1 (ENSSSCG00025045882.1)". It matches the Rfam family "Small nucleolar RNA ZL1". Rfam says of the family: Host gene TRRAP. Predicted target U2@U47. Lineage: Eukaryota; Metazoa; Chordata; Mammalia; Artiodactyla; Suidae. The record is from RNAcentral.